Molecule: ribosomal RNA, 446 nt
Filed under: uncultured bacterium
Lineage: Bacteria
Description: bacterial SSU rRNA
Rfam family: Bacterial small subunit ribosomal RNA
Source: RNAcentral
AUCCAGACUCCUACGGGAGGCAGCAGUGGGGAAUAUUGCACAAUGGGGGAAACCCUGAUGCAGCGACGCCGCGUGAGUGAAGAAGUAAUUCGUUAUGUAAAGCUCUAUCAGCAGGGAAGAAAAUGACGGUACCUGAGUAAGAAGCCCCGGCUAACUACGUGCCAGCAGCCGCGGUAAUACGUAGGGGGCAAGCGUUAUCCGGAUUUACUGGGUGUAAAGGGAGCGUAGACGGCCAGACAAGUCUGAAGUGAAAAUCCAGCGCUUAACGUUGGAAGUGCUUUGGAAACUGCCGGGCUAGAGUGCAGGAGGGGCAGGCGGAAUUCCUAGUGUAGCGGUGAAAUGCGUAGAUAUUAGGAGGAACACCGGUGGCGAAGGCGGCUUACUGGACUGUAACUGACGUUGAGGCUCGAAAGCGUGGGGAGCAAACAGGAUUAGAUACCCGAGUA